This 221-nucleotide ribosomal RNA is filed under the name uncultured bacterium. Its description in RNAcentral is "partial 16S ribosomal RNA". It matches the Rfam family "Bacterial small subunit ribosomal RNA", at positions 172 to 334 of the family's 1533-position model. The record is from RNAcentral.
GUUGUGGCUGCAGUCUUGGACUGUGGUUGCGGUGGCGGUCUUCGGUGUACGAUCUACCGAUCUACUUCUGUGCUUUUCUACCUAUCUGGGGGGUCUUGUGGUGGCUUCGGGAGGGGCUUGCGGCCUAUCAGAUAGUUGGUGGGGUAACGGCCUACCAAGUCAUCGACGGGUAGCUGGUCUGAGAGGAUGGUCAGCCGGACUGGGACUGCGAUACGGCCCAG